CUUCCUCUCUAUGCGGCGUGCAGUGCUGCGGGGCUUUUCUUACCGCGGGCCUCGUGCUCCGGGUCGUGCCGCCUCCCCGCCCCCCAAAGCCUCACAGCAGCUGUCGCAGGGCCGCGGUGCCAGCUGGAAGAGCUGCAGGCGUGAGGACAGCUGUGGCAGCCCCAUCCGGCUCGGCCCGAGCCUUGUGUCGUGUCAGCACGCGGUGCUGUGUAGGGGAAGCGUUCCCGUCAUUUCAGAAGUUAAAGUCACCGUUUCAUCCAGGUUUGGGGCAGCCGAGGUUUGCAGUUCAGAAACGUCAGCUGCGUGCUGGGACAGCGAGGGGGGAAAAACACUGUGAGCGUCGCUGGGAUUUCAAUACGUGCCCUUGUAUUAAUGCCCUCCACGCAUUAAUCCUGCUUAAAUCCCCUCUUUAUACACCAUUAAUAGAGCCCUUCCACUGCAGAAACAACGGGGGGCAAAAAGGUGAUCAAAGAGCAGAUGGUUGGGAUGAGGGGGCUGAGGUCCCCUGGUCUGCUCAGUGCAGAGAAGAGGAGACCAUGCUUCAAUUUUGACCUACAGAUAACAGGGUUGAGACGGUGAACUUAAGAGCUGUCAUUGGAAUUGAAACAUUCUGCUACAGCUUCUGUGAAAGCAUCCUAAUAAACAUAUCACUCUCAUCUUUUUCCUGCUCAGCGAUCUCCUGCCUGUCCCUGCAUUAUAGAAAUGCUGGUGCUGCACAGACCCAGCUGGCCAGCUGUGAACAGAGACAAUUAAUGGCAUCUUUGGUUUUAACUCCCAAUAGGCAAGUUGCUAACUGCUAAGAAAACACCCUUCUUUGUGAGAGGCCACUGGUCUUGCCUUAGGUGAUAGUUUUAUGCAGAACGGCAGGACAGAUUAGCAGUUUGCUGCCACCCAAAGGGAGAAGUCAGAGGAAAGAUCUUACCUUCCCCACAUCUUUCUCCCUCUGAACCUCACUUUUUGCCACAUCUGGUGUUCGCCAGACCUUUCCGUGACCUGCUUUUAACUCACUGUCAGCAGCAAACUUCCCAUAGUGAAAACAAGAUGAGGGACUGCUUCAGACUGUACUCCACGCUAAUGAAGACACACUGAUGAUGGAUUUUGAAAGCCCGCUUGUUGCUAAGACUCACUUAUUGUAGUGGAUAAAUGUUUGGAUUGGUUUGUACUUUCUGAAAGGUGCCUUUGCCAGCUGAAGAUGUCUGGAGGCCAAUGGUUUCUUAUGCAACUACUCAAGAUGUUGGUUCCGUUUGCAUUCACAGUGUAGGUUCUUUGAAAUGCUUUAUUGUAAACAUGAUUACGGAGAGCAGAGACCCCAGCUUUACUAAGCACCAGGCUGACAUAAUUCUGGCUUUAAGCAGCAGCUGCUACAGAAUGAAAGAUGAAAGAAUGGGGUGCAGCCUAUGUCGGUUGUGUAAGCACCUCAUUGCAGUCAAGGAAUAAGGGAUGCAGACUGCUUUUAAAUUAGCCUGCUAGGUGGUGCUAUAGGACAUGUUCUAAGUUACUCCUUCACAAACAGCAGCUCUGAAGUUUUACCAGGAGAAGGGUAGACUCCUGUCGUUACCUGCCUCUCUAAUUUACAGUUUUGUGAGUAAAGCCCUAUUGCUGCAUUAGCAAAAAAAGUUGAUUUUUUUGUUUAAGUACAGAACUGAAAACCACUGACUUCAGUAUCUCUUAAUGCAUGAGUGCUCCCACAGUCUCCUCUGCGUAUGUGAUCUUCAAGGUGAAAAGCGGUCAGUCACUGAAUCCACCAAUCUGAAAGAGAUAUUUCUUCCCAAAAUCCCUUAUUCCCCUCUGGGAGUCUGUUUAUCUGCCCUCUCAGACGAGUUUUGGGGUCAUCCAGCCUCCUACAAACUGCAAUGGGGAGCAACAUGAAGAGCUGUGCAAUGCUAGCCCAGUUUCAUGCAAUGUGGUGUGUCACAAACACUUCUUCCUGUAACUCAGGUUCUGUAGGUGUUGUCAGAUGGAGCACACACUGCAGGAUUGCGGGACUGGGGAAAUGCAGUGCAAGUAGGACAGUAGAGUAACAUCGACAGCAGAAAGAGAGAGAUGAUGGAGUUUGCAGAGCAAGGAUCAUCUGCUGGUUAUUUACAGAACCAGCCUUGAAAAAGAAGGGACUGGGCAGGGACUGGGCAGUUUGGACAUUAGGGGAUUCUACAAAAUUGUUUGUCAAAUUAAGGAGGAAGACGGAAAAGUCUGAUGAAUAACACAGGAAACAUUAGAGCACAAGAAGUUCCUGCAUUGAGAUGUGGUAGAAGAUCUGGGGAAGAUCUUGUCAUGGAGGAAGGGUGUAAUAUGACAGCUUGUUUUUUUUUUAUGCAUCUACCUGGCCUGCAUUUCCAUGUCAAUAAGUGCAGUGCUUCAGCAGCGGUUUGGGGGGCACACGAGGAGCAGUGCAAGGCCCUUAAAGAAAAGAUGUAGACAGUACCUGUGUUGAGGUGACUUACGAUGACUCGUGCUGGUCUUUAAACACCACCUCUUGGUGAAGAGGGAAAAUAUCAGCCAAUACUGAGGGUAUGUCUUUGCAUGUCCCACCCCCACUGUUCCUCUUAUAGUUAAAUCCCAAAUGACCCACUGCAAGCUCAUAACUGAACUUAACCUAGCAAUAAACAAAACUCAGAACUUUGAAGUGAUGAGGUAAACUUAGCAUUCAUACCGUCUGGCUGAUGUGGGAGACAGGAGACAGCUGUACUCUAGGAUUUUGCUGCGUGCUCAGAUAGCACAGGUUGGAACCCACGUUUUGCCUUUCAUCAAGGGCUGGCAGAAAUGCCGAAAGCUCUGCCAGUCUCAUGCUGCUAAUCAAAGCCACAUGCAAAAAGUAGUAGGACAAAAAGUUCCUUGUCUCCUUGUUAAGCCUUUCCUGUAGAAAAAGAUGAUCUAUUCCCAACCCUUUAUCUUAUUCCUUGAAAAUAAAUACGUAGUUUGUAUGACCUUCUCAGGAGCAGCAAUGUGUAGGAAAGAAUGAGCACUGAGAAACACAACUGUGGGAACAGAAUAGAGAAUCACAUUUCUGGUCUCACAUGAAGCCUUUGGUGUCCAGUAUUCAAGAAUGAGUGAAAAUCUGAUGAUGUAGUCAUUGAAAUGGGCAGAUUCUGGGACCAAACAUACCAGCUCCUUCAGCUCUGACUGUAUUUACCAGAAGUGGGAAGGUUGAUGAUAAAGCAUUCUGCGUAAUCAGAUAUCUUAAGUGUAAUCAUAAAAAAAAACAACCCAAAACCACUGAUGUGAAUGUGCAAUGCAAUUGCUGCUGCAGCUAACAGACAUGGAUCCAGGUAAACAUGGAUGCUGAAGGAAAAUUUGGAUACUGGCAGCAGAGAGCUGAGAAGGAAAGCCACUUGCGGAAUCUGGGCAAAUCAAUUCAUGCUGAACUCCAUGGUCUUGCAAAUAGACUGUUGCUAUUUAAAACUGCUUCAGAUCUAUCCACAUUGUGCAGACAGAUGCUAUACCAUAUUGUAUUUUAAAAGGCAUUAGGCUCUAGUCAUGUCACAGACAUCAUUAUGAUACCAUUUGGCAAAAUCAGAGCAAAACUCAGAAACAUAAGUUGAUUGUCUAGCCUGGGAUUUCCUGUUGGUGCAUAUGAGCCAUACUUGCUGUAUCCAGGACAAUUGAACUUUGUCUAUAGCAGAUAGAAUCUUUAUCUUCAAGAGCUCUGGUUCUACAAUUAGCUAGCUAUAGUGAAAGGAAGGUACCUGUAGUGAAUUAGAAUGUCACAUAUCUUCACAAUGCAGCUGAUUAGUGCCUUUUCCCUUCAGAAUUAGAAGCAGCCCGUCUUUGGAAGGGAAGGAUGCCGUUUCUUAAAGGCAGUACUAUAAUAACUAACAGAGUUAAUCGUAAUUAUCUUAAUCUCCAUAAUAAUUACCCUUCCGG
RNAcentral lists this long non-coding RNA (3861 nucleotides) under Gallus gallus (chicken). Lineage: Eukaryota; Metazoa; Chordata; Aves; Galliformes; Phasianidae. The record is from RNAcentral.